GCUUCACCGACAUCAGCAGGGCGAUCACCGGACACACAAAAUGCAACCUCAGCAAGGCCAAGCAGCCACGCGACAGGCACAUUCCACUGGUAUCAGUAACGAAGGCCAUGGAAAGAACGCAGACGCAGCAUCAGCAAAAUACGACCACCUGUAACAUGUACAUUCUUUCAAGCACCUUGUAUGUCAUUAACACCAAGCAAAGGGUGAGAUAAUCAAGAAGACAAGAACCCCAGCGGAAAUAGGUAGUUACGAUAUUCAUAAAUUGUCACGUAGUAAUGGUACAAUUACAAAAGAAAUAAUCGGUCACGUGACAAUUAGGAAGAAUAUAGAUAGAGAUUCAGUACUCAAUAGAGAGUUGUUGGAGUGCAGUUUAAUUGAGGUCAGAGCUGGUUUUACCAAGUUCAGAAUAUAAUUGAAAGUAGUGUUGAAAGUAGUUAGAGUUCAGUUUUAAUUCAGAGCAGUCAGAAGUCAGUCUUAGUUGGAAACAGUGAGUUUAACUUAAAUAAUAUUGUAAGAGUAUUGCACUUAAGGUUCGGUAUUAACUUGAGAUUCGGUGAUUCAUUUGUUCUUUUGUUCAUUCGCAAGUCGAUCCGUCUGCGACAAAGAAACAAUCUAGUACAUAUUGUAAUUCCGUUUAAUAAAAUUGUUAAUUAAGUUCGAAAAUCCGAAACAUCGAGUAACUAAUCGCGAAACAAAAUUUAAUUGUUAAAACCGAUUCAUCGCCAAACCAUACUCACACCUGAUCGACUCCACAAAUCAAACAAGGUAGGAGAUUCGAAAUUGUACACCCUCUUCCUUUCUUUUUUAACUUUUAAUUGAACAAAGUUGUCUUUAAACGAAAGUAUCCGUCGGCAGCUAUAGUUGACAGAUAGAAGUAUCGAGUAAAUAACUCACAUAAAAUUUCAUUCGAACAUUUUGAAUUCACGACAAUUAUUCUCUGUAUCGACCAAUGAUCACGGUGUUUUUAAUCAUUGGAAACAUCUAUGGUUUUCGUUUUUCUCUUCCCACCGUUAGCAGAUUGCUCAUCCUUGGGCGAGGCCUACGAAGCCACACUGAUUGUCUACAGUGAACUCAGUCACCAAAUAAAAUAAUCAUUUACUCAUUUACGACUUUACUUGUUGCCAAGAACGAAUUAUAAUUCCAUGACGAAAUCAAAAAAAGAAUAGAAAAGAUAAAAGUCACCUCAACAAAAAGCGAGCCGAACGUUGGUACAAACGAUUAAUUGCUGCAGAAAUAAAAAAGGAAGAGAGGAGGCAUCGAGACGAAUUAGAGUCGAAUCGCGAAGGUUCACCACCUAGUUUUUCACCCUCAAAUUCACCAAUUUCCGAACACUGCGAGGCGCAUUCCUUUCGAUCUCGUUUGCCAUCGCCCACAUCACACCAUAGCGUUUGUUAUUAAUCUUAUUGGUACGAAUAAAUAUUAUCCUACCAAACAUUUGUAAAAUUUAUCCAGUUAGAAGCUAGAAUAUUUAUUUAUUGUACAUCGCUGUAUAAUAUAUCUACAUUUGCAUCCGACGUACUUAUUGCUGAUAUUGUAAUACCUUUAAUCAACUAACAACGAAUAAAUUAAAAUAUAGUUAAACCAACAUAACUCUGUCAGACGAAAUAAAUACGUUGCCAAUUGUCUAUCCCUAAUAACUUUAAUCCUCUCCCGUGCCAGUAUUCCUGCGCAUAGCAGGUUAGUCGAAAAGUGGAAUUCAUUUGCCAGUUGCAUCAAACGUAAGUCAACGCUACCCAUUAAACAUCAGUUAGUAGAUAAUAGACACUCACCUAGUUCAAACCCCACGACAGACAGGGUACAAGGUUUGUUUUCCUACAGACAAGAAAGUGCUUACAGAGGCACUUCCAGUCUGGGAAUUCAACAGACACAACAGACAAGGUACAAGAUUUGUUUUCCUACAGCCACGAAGGUGCUUAUAGAGGCACUUCCAGACUGGGAAUCCAAAAGACACGAUAGACAAACAAUACCCAUCAUACACUAACACUCCCAACUUUAAGAAAUAAUAAUAAUAAAAGGAAAUUCUUUGAAAUAGUUCUUAGACUAUUUCUGUUGGCAGCAACUACCAUAUUAAUCGGACAUCUCGAUUAAUAUUUCAUAAACAAUCAUACCAUUUCAAUUUUCCCCUUCCGAUUAAACUUAAGAUAACAUAAAUAAAAAAAAAAAAAAAAUUUUAUCUGGACUUAGUCUAGACUAACACGGAAGGCAUAGCACAAUCAAAUCGAACAUAACAGAACGUAACACAUGCAGAACGUAGUGCACGCGAUUUCUAUCCUAGAAACAAGCCCAGAAGCUCGAAAAAUUUAUUCAUACGUCGAUUUAGUCGAAAACUAUGCGAUAUUUCUCUCGAGUUAGAGAAAUUUCGGCUUUUAAACUCUCAUUUUACUACAUUUUACACGCAGAACGUAGUGCGCGCGAUGGCCAGUGUCGAUGCAAUCGAAUCCAGUUCUUAAAAUUCAAUCAUUCUUCGAUUAGAUCGAUAACUAAGCGAUAUUUCUUCCGCGUGUGAGAUAUUUCGACGUUUAAACGCCCAUUUUACUCCAUUGUACAUGCAGAACGUAGUGCACGCGAUUUCUAUCCCUGAAACAAGCCCAGAAGCUCGAAAAAUUCAUUCAUUCUUCGAUUUGAUCGAAAACUACGCGUUAUUUCUACCGCGUGUGAGAUAUUUCGACGUUAAAACGCCCAUUUUACUCCAUAUUCACGCAUAACCCAGUGCGCGCGAUAGCCAGUGCCGAUGCAAGCGCAUUCAGCACUUAAAAUUCAAUCAUUCUUCGAUUUGAUCGAAAGCUACGCGUUAUUUCUUCCGCGUGUGAAAUAUUUCGACGUUUAAACGCCCAUUUUACUCCAUUCUGCACGCAGAACGUAGUGCGCGCGAUAGCCAGUGACGAUGCAAUCGAAUUCAGCUCUUAAAAUUCAAUCAUUCUUCGAUUAGAUCGAACACUACGCGAUAUUUCUUUCCAGUUUGGGAUAUUUCGACGUUUAAACGCCCAUUUUACUCCAUUGUACAUGCAGAACGUAGUGCACGCGAUUUCUAUCCUUGAAACAAGCACAGAAGCUCGAAAAAUUCAUUCUUACGUCGAUUUGAUCGAAAACUAUGCGAUAUGUCUCUCGAGUUAGAGAAAUUUCGACGUUUAUACUCUCAUUUUUACUACAUUUUGCACGCAGAAGGUAGUGCGCGCGAUAGCCUGUGUCGAUGCAAUCGCAUUCAGCUUGUUACGUUCUGUUAUGUUCGAUUUGAUUGUGCUAUGCCUUCCGUGUUAGUCUAGACUAAAUCCAGAAAAAAUUUUUGUUGUGUUAUCUUGAGUUUAAUCGGAAGGGGAAAAUUGAAAUGGUAUGAUUGUUUAUGAAAUAUUAAUCGAGAUGUCCGAUUAAUAUGGUAGUUGCUGCCAACAGAAAUAGUCUAAGGACUAUUUCAAAGAAUUUCCUUUUAUUAUUAUUAUUUCUUAAAGUUGGGAGUGUUAGUGUAAGAUGGGUAUUGUUUGUCUAUUGUGUCUUUUGGAUUCCCAGUCUGGAAGUGCCUCUAUAAGCACCUUCGUGGCUGUAGGAAAACAAAUCUUGUACCUUGUCUGUUGUGUCUGUUGAAUUCCCAGACUGGAAGUGCCUCUGUAAGCACUUUCUUGUCUGUAGGAAAACAAACCUUGUACCCUGUCUGUCGUGGGGUUUGAACUAGGUGAGUGUCUAUUAUCUACUAACUGAUGUUUAAUGGGUAGCGUUGACUUACGUUUGAUGCAACUGGCAAAUGAAUUGCACUUUUCGACUAACCUGCUAUGCGCAGGAAUACUGGCACGGGAGAGGAAUAAAGUUAUUAGGGAUAGACAAUUGGCAACGUAUUUAUUUCGUCUGACAGAGUUAUGUUGGUUUAACUAUAUUUUAAUUUAUUCGUUGUUAGUUGAUUAAAGGUAUUACAAUAUCAGCAAUAAGUAUCGUCGGAUGCAAAUGUAGAUAUAUUAUACAGCGAUGUACAAUAAAUAAAUAUUCUAGCUUCUAACUGGAUAAAUUUUACAAAUGUUUGGUAGGAUAAUAUUUAUUCGUACCAAUAAGAUUAAUAACAAACGCUAUGGUGUGAUGUGGGCGAUGGCGAACGAGAUCGAAAGGAAUGCACCUCGCAGUGUUCGGAAAUUGGUGAAUUUGAGGGCGAAAAACUAGGUGGUGAACCUUCGCGAUUCGACUCUAAUUCUUCUCGAUGCCUCCUCUCUUCCUUUUUUAUUUCUGCAGCAAUUAAUCGUUUGUACCAACGUUCGGCUCGCUUUUUGUUGAGGUGACUUUUAUCUUUUCUAUUCUUUUUUUGAUUUCGUCAUGGAAUUAUAAUUCGUUCUUGGCAACAAGUAAAGUCCUAAAUGAGUAAAUGAUUAUUUUAUUUGGUGACUGAGUUCACUGUAGACAAUCAGUGUGGCCUCGUAGGCCUCAUCCAAGGAUGAGCAAUCUGCUAACGGUGGGUAGAGGAAAACGAAAACCUUAGAUGUUUUCUGUGACGAAAACACCGUAAUCACUGGUUGAUACAGCGAACAAUUGUAAACAAAAUAGAUCGAAAGCUGAUUGAGUUUAUUCCAAACUAUUCGUUAAAUGUUGAGCAAGAACGUUUAUCUCAAUUUUGUAAUUAUAUUCUCUGUAAACAAUCCGUGUGGCUUCGUAGGCCUCGCCCAAGGAUGAGCAAUCUGCUAACGGUGGGAAGAGGAAAACGAAAACCAUAGAUGUUUCCAAUGAUUAAAAACACCGUGAUCAUUGGUCGAUACAGAGAAUAAUUGUCGUGAAUUCAAAAUGUUCGAAUGAAAUUUUAUGUGAGUUAUUUACUCGAUACUUCUAUCUGUCAACUAUAGCUGCCGACGGAUACUUUCGUUUAAAGACAACUUUGUUCAAUUAAAAGUUAAAAAAGAAAGGAAGAGGGUGUACAAUUUCGAAUCUCCUACCUUGUUUGAUUUGUGGAGUCGAUCAGGUGUGAGUAUGGUUUGGCGAUGAAUCGGUUUUAACAAUUAAAUUUUGUUUCGCGAUUAGUUACUCGAUGUUUCGGAUUUUCGAACUUAAUUAACAAUUUUAUUAAACGGAAUUACAAUAUGUACUAGAUUGUUUCUUUGUCGCAGACGGAUCGACUUGCGAAUGAACAAAAGAACAAAUGAAUCACCGAAUCUCAAGUUAAUACCGAACCUUAAGUGCAAUACUCUUACAAUAUUAUUUAAGUUAAACUCACUGUUUCCAACUAAGACUGACUUCUGACUGCUCUGAAUUAAAACUGAACUCUAACUACUUUCAACACUACUUUCAAUUAAAUUCUGAACUCGGUAAAACCAGCUCUGACCUCAAUUAAAACUGCACUCCAACAACACUCUAUUGAAUACUGAAUCUCUAUUUAUAUUCUUCCUAAUUGUCACGUGACCGAUUAUUUCUCUGUAAUUGUACCAUUACUACGUGACAAUUUAUGAAUAUCGUAACUACCUAUUUCCUAUUUCUUGUUUUCUUGAUUGUCUCUCCCUUUGCUGAAAUUUCGUCUUCUUGAUCAUCUCACGUUUUGCUUGGUGUUAAUGAUAUACAAGGUACUUGAAAGAAUGUAGAUGUUGCAGGUGGUCGUAUUUUGCUGAUGCUGCGUCUGCGAUCUUUCCAUGGCCUUCGUUACCGAUGCCGGUGGAGUGUGCCGGGCGCGUGGCUGCUUGCCCUUGCUGAGGUUGCAUUUUGUAUAUCCGGUGAUCGUCUUGCUGAUGUCGGUGAAUCAUACGAGGUUAUAUUGAAUCAUGGAUACUGACAUUUCUUGAGCUGUAGAGUGUAAGAAAAGAAAAGAAAUAGAGGGAAGCGCAGGCCGUUCGUACCUCCUUUGAAACGUUCCAGGAAACCUGGUCGUCGUGGCGGUGCGAAAGGUCGUAGUCGGGUGCUAAAGAGGUUGAGAGGCUCAACUUCCAUGGAGGGUAGUAAUGGCGUGGUUACAACCCCAUCGCCGAGUUCUGAUGGUCCUUCGGUUAUUGACCUUACUUUCUCCGACGAAGACACCCUUGAGUCACCACCAAGUUCUCCUGUGGUCGAAGUGGUAGAUACAAAUGCCUGUGCCAAGGCUCGUUUUCCGGAGGAGAUUCCUGGAGUGUUUUAUUUCUUAUAUUUGUCAAUAAAAGUAUAAUAUAUA
Molecule: long non-coding RNA, 6103 nt
Organism: Bombus terrestris (buff-tailed bumblebee)
Lineage: Eukaryota; Metazoa; Arthropoda; Insecta; Hymenoptera; Apidae
Exons: 3
Source: RefSeq, a predicted model, not a curated record